UAACGGCAAGCUAGUGAGCUGGUACUCCUCCCCAUGCUUUGAGGAAAAGAUGAACCAACAUGGCUGACUAAUAGAAGAAACUAUGUCAGAGGCAGAUUUUGAGCUUUUAACCACAAGGUAAGAUACAGUUUCAUUUGGCCCAGAAGUGAACAGUGAGAGAGCCAAGAAGAAUCCAACAUUGAAACUGUUUGAAAACACUGCUUUUGGAUAGAAUGCACUUCCUUCUAUGACAAGUAAAGAGUAAGCGGGAAAAAAAAUUAAUAUCACACCUGUGGGAGACAAAUAGUCAGUGUAAAGAAAACAACUGUAUCCUGAGAACUAAAAGAAAAGCAUACCUCUGGAAAUUACUCUAUAGGAGAGUCCAAGACAUUUUUGCAUCCUUGGAGUAGAACCAAGUCAAUGGGCAGAGAAUAUAGAGGAUAUUGAAGAGAAACAACUGCAAAGAAACAGAACUUGUAAUGUCAGAAAUGUCUGUCUGAGAGAUAGUAAAUCAUGGACUUGACAAGUGAAAUCAACAAACUUAAGACCAAACUUCAGAAACUGCAAGAAUGCAGUAAGAAAGGAUAAAGAGAGUGAGAAAACCCUAAAAGGAAAAUGACCAAUAUGGAAAAGAGAGAAUAAAGACUCAGUAAAAAAUUCUGGAUACUUUUUAUGGAAGGAAAUAAGAGAUCCAUUUCAUUAACGAUUAUUGGUAGAAAAAUCACACAUGAAAACCUUAAUAAAUUGUGCUCCCAGAGCAUCAAUUCCUUAGUUAGUAAACUUCCAAAUUCUCAAUCCAAAUCUAAAUUAAGAGUUUUUUGGAGGCCGAUUAUGAUAAAAUACUAAAAAAUUUUAUUAAAAAAUUCAAAAUAAGAUUUGGAUAGAUAUUUCUGGUCAGAAGAUUGGAUGCUCCAAGAUAUACAUUCUUCCUAUAUUAUGCUGUAAUUUAAAUAAUUUUAAUAAAAAUCCUAAUGGCAUGGGCUAAAGGGAAGCCUGAAAAAGCGAAUCUAACAUUUAUCUGGAAGCAGAAAUGGUGCAAGUAUCCAAGAUAUUUUUUAGAGUUAUUAUAAUAGACUGUAAUCAAAACAGCAUGAUGAUAGUAAAACUGAUAGGCAAAGAAUGAAGAGAAGAUGUCCCGGCACAAUUUAAUGAUUCUUUCUCUGCUAAUUUUAAAUGCCAAAUUUAAUCAUAAACUCACCCCUCUACAUAUACCAAAGUCUAUUUUUGGAAGAAGUGGUUAACCAUUUGAAAUAAAGUUGGCAUCAUUUCUCAAAGCAUAUGCCACAAUACAGAGGCCAAAAGGACUAAAUAGUUAAACACACAAAAAGAAGCCAAAAUAAAAUGUCGAUGGAUAUAUCUCUGAUCUUGAGCUUGGUUUAGUGUGUCUACAUAUAAUGAGACGGGGAAAAUUUUAUUCACCACAAUUCCAUUGAUGAAUGGAACUCAUUUGUUGGAGAAAGUUCA
This is a long non-coding RNA of Lutra lutra (Eurasian river otter), 1443 nucleotides long. RefSeq lists it as uncharacterized. Lineage: Eukaryota; Metazoa; Chordata; Mammalia; Carnivora; Mustelidae. The transcript is spliced from 3 exons. The record is from RefSeq and is a predicted model, not a curated record.